GAUGAACGCUGGCGGCGUGCCUAAUACAUGCAAGUCGAGCGAACAGACGAGGAGCUUGCUCCUCUGACGUUAGCGGCGGACGGGUGAGUAACACGUGGAUAACCUACCUAUAAGACUGGGAUAACUUCGGGAAACCGGAGCUAAUACCGGAUAAUAUAUUUAACCGCAUGGUUCAAUAGUGAAAGACGGUUUUGCUGUCACUUAUAGAUGGAUCCGCGCCGCAUUAGCUAGUUGGUAAGGUAACGGCUUACCAAGGCGACGAUGCGUAGCCGACCUGAGAGGGUGAUCGGCCACACUGGAACUGAGACACGGUCCAGACUCCUACGGGAGGCAGCAGUAGGGAAUCUUCCGCAAUGGGCGAAAGCCUGACGGAGCAAAGCCGCGUGAGUGAUGAAGGUCUUCGGAUCGUAAAACUCUGUUAUUAGGGAAGAACAAAUGUGUAAGUAACUAUGCACGUCUUGACGGUACCUAAUCAGAAAGCCACGGCUAACUACGUG
Molecule: ribosomal RNA, 497 nt
Filed under: uncultured bacterium
Lineage: Bacteria
Description: partial 16S ribosomal RNA
Rfam family: Bacterial small subunit ribosomal RNA
Source: RNAcentral